UUAUUUGAAGCACAAGUAAAAAUGGAAGAAAAGGAGGUGCAAAAAAGAGAGAAAAUGAACCAAAUGUCAAAGCCCAGUCCAAAACACAAAACGCAGGUGCCGUGCAUGUGACGGACGUCACAGAGGGCGUCACGAGCGUCACGCUUGCACACUCCUGUGACGGACGUCACACAUGGUGUGACGAACGUCACACCAUUCCCCUACAAUUUUUGGCGCAAGGAACGCCUCAGAGACGUUGAGCGUUGAGGGAGUGUUGAGCCCUAUAUCCACCGCCAUGCUUUAUGCACGUUGAAGACCUUUUGGCAGCGGAAGCGGUUACUCAAGCAUAUAUAAAUAGCCACUUGCAAAACCAAAA
This 355-nucleotide long non-coding RNA is filed under the name Lathyrus oleraceus (garden pea). RNAcentral describes it as "Pisum sativum (pea) long non-coding RNA (PSAT_LNC002019)". Lineage: Eukaryota; Viridiplantae; Streptophyta; Magnoliopsida; Fabales; Fabaceae. The record is from RNAcentral.